GAUGAACGCUGGCGGCGUGCCUAAUACAUGCAAGUCGAGCGAACGGACGAGAAGCUUGCUUCUCUGAUGUUAGCGGCGGACGGGUGAGUAACACGUGGAUAACCUACCUAUAAGACUGGGAUAACUUCGGGAAACCGGAGCUAAUACCGGAUAAUAUUUUGAACCGCAUGGUUCAAAAGUGAAAGACGGUCUUGCUGUCACUUAUAGAUGGAUCCGCGCUGCAUUAGCUAGUUGGUAAGGUAACGGCUUACCAAGGCAACGAUGCAUAGCCGACCUGAGAGGGUGAUCGGCCACACUGGAACUGAGACACGGUCCAGACUCCUACGGGAGGCAGCAGUAGGGAAUCUUCCGCAAUGGGCGAAAGCCUGACGGAGCAACGCCGCGUGAGUGAUGAAGGUCUUCGGAUCGUAAAACUCUGUUAUUAGGGAAGAACAUAUGUGUAAGUAACUGUGCACAUCUUGACGGUACCUAAUCAGAAAGCCACGGCUAACUACGUGCCAGCAGCCGCGGUAAUACGUAGGUGGGCAGCGUUAUCCCGAAUUAUUGGGCGUAAAGCGCGCGUAGGCGGUUUUUUAGUCUGAUGUGAAAGCCCACGGCUCAACCGUGGAGGGUCAUUGGAAACUGGAAAACUUGAGUGCAGAAGAGGAAAGUGGAAUUCCAUGUGUAGCGGUGAAAUGCGCAGAGAUAUGGAGGAACACCAGUGGCGAAGGCGACUUUCUGGUCUGUAACUGACGCUGAUGUGCGAAAGCGUGGGGAUCAAACAGGAUUAGAUACCCUGGUAGUCCACGCCGUAAACGAUGAGUGCUAAGUGUUAGGGGGUUUCCGCCCCUUAGUGCUGCAGCUAACGCAUUAAGCACUCCGCCUGGGGAGUACGACCGCAAGGUUGAAACUCAAAGGAAUUGACGGGGACCCGCACAAGCGGUGGAGCAUGUGGUUUAAUUCGAAGCAACGCGAAGAACCUUACCAAAUCUUGACAUCCUUUGACAACUCUAGAGAUAGAGCCUUCCCCUUCGGGGGACAAAGUGACAGGUGGUGCAUGGUUGUCGUCAGCUCGUGUCGUGAGAUGUUGGGUUAAGUCCCGCAACGAGCGCAACCCUUAAGCUUAGUUGCCAUCAUUAAGUUGGGCACUCUAAGUUGACUGCCGGUGACAAACCGGAGGAAGGUGGGGAUGACGUCAAAUCAUCAUGCCCCUUAUGAUUUGGGCUACACACGUGCUACAAUGGACAAUACAAAGGGCAGCGAAACCGCGAGGUCAAGCAAAUCCCAUAAAGUUGUUCUCAGUUCGGAUUGUAGUCUGCAACUCGACUACAUGAAGCUGGAAUCGCUAGUAAUCGUAGAUCAGCAUGCUACGGUGAAUACGUUCCCGGGUCU
This 1371-nucleotide ribosomal RNA is filed under the name uncultured bacterium. RNAcentral's name for it is "bacterial SSU rRNA". It matches the Rfam family "Bacterial small subunit ribosomal RNA", at positions 28 to 1381 of the family's 1533-position model. The record is from RNAcentral.